Xiphias gladius (swordfish) is the source of this 1275-nucleotide long non-coding RNA. RefSeq lists it as uncharacterized. Lineage: Eukaryota; Metazoa; Chordata; Actinopteri; Istiophoriformes; Xiphiidae. The transcript has 4 exons. The record is from RefSeq and is a predicted model, not a curated record.
GCGAGGUGUCACCAAACAAACCCGCCUCCCUCGCGGCGCUACUCCCCUGUCACACCGAGCCAGUGUCAACAAUGGCGCCUUCAGGUGCCCCUCGAAAGAGCUUGCGACCCAGGGACCGGAGACCAGAGGAGCCAUACUGGUGCACCGUCGCGUCCAAGCAGAAGGGAAUUCACCCAAACGAACAACUGCUCUGACAGGCGGGCCCUCGUCUGUUUUGAGGGAGCUGCCAUCGCCAGAGAAGGCAGACAGGCAGUCGUAGAGGCAGGUGGAUCGACAGGCGAACAGGCGGAGGUGUUGCUGUUCAACAUCCAUUCCCCAGAAGGAGCACCAGAUCCUGAGCUAUGGUGAAGCUGUUCUCAUCUGUUGUCAUGGCAUGCCACACUCCUGGGAAGCUUCACUAAAAGCCAGUGUCAGGAUGUUAAGCUUUUUACAGACUGACGCAAGAUGCCUUGCUCUAGCCACUCCACCGCACUGCAGAGCCAUCUAACAAAUGAAGAGGCGUCUGAGGCCCCGCGGCUACGGGGUCACACGGCAGCCUUGUGAAGUUGUGGCAGUUACCAGCACGUCUCGCUGUACGCUGGCAGGACGAGCCACAACAUUCCAGCCUGUUUACAGAGUAGCACCUUAGGCCCCCAUAUUUCUCACACCCAGGAUGAAGGAGUGACAGCAUCUGUGGGAUAAGCUUGUGUUGGAUGAGAUGGAUUUACACAAGAGAGAGUUGGUAGCAUACCUGAACAGUGGAUGCAGUUACAGAAAGUUGGGUCAGGAUGGAAGUGUUAUAUAAGCUGCAUUUAUCCAGAACACUCCUGAUAAGAUGAAGGAUGUCUGUUGACGCAAUUUGCAGGACAAAAAUAAGCACCCUCCCUUGACCGACACAUAUCAUUUACUUUUAUUAUUUGGGGAUACAUUUUAAUCAUUGUGUUUGUGUUUUUGUUUAUGCACAUGCAUGCCUGCUCCUCACCACUGACUCAUACCUGUCAAAAACAUAUCACCCAUGACUCAAACUCCACCCACUGUUGGCAUGACUGACAGCUCGCUCAGGCAAAGUUCAAACACCACGCUCCAUCACCAAAUACAGCUGCGGCCGUGUGAGAGAAUAAACACCUCUGAGUCACAGAACAGGACCUUGAAAAAUUUUAGUCACACAUUUUUGUCAUCAUUGUCUACUGCUCAAUGGAAAACUCAGAGCACCAUAUAGGUCUCUAAAAAUCAGAAUCCCUGUAUUAUCCAAGUAUGAUAAAUUUUAAAAAAAAUUGUAUCUUAAGCCUGAGGGUG